Molecule: long non-coding RNA, 2003 nt
Organism: Oreochromis aureus
Lineage: Eukaryota; Metazoa; Chordata; Actinopteri; Cichliformes; Cichlidae
Source: Ensembl
UAGAGUUGAAGUUCCGUCCAAAAGGGUUUUAAGCUUCACUGGUGAGAGUGUCCAGGUGAUACAUGUUGAGGGAAGAUGAGAACAUAGCAGGUGAAUUGCAUGCACGCUUACAAACACACAUGAUUUAAAUAUAGGCCAGGCCAAAGGCCUGGACUUGAUGCAGCUUUCAACUUUACAGCUCCUAACUUGUAGGAAUGGCGUGGAGUGUAAUGAAUGAAUGCAAAACAUGCUUACAGACACAAUCAUGACAGGGGUUUAUUUUACAGGGUAAAGGUGGACCACAGGUUGCUUUGUUUCUGCUUAGCAACUACUGAGGUAAAUGGUGUUAAAGAUAAAUAUGCAAUAAGUGAACAAGAAAUGUGUGAGGGUGAGCCGGGUGAAACAAAAUGUUGUAGAUAAUGGAAACUUGUCUAACGGGCAUUAACAGUAACCUUUGCAUGUUAUGUAUAUGCUUGAGGCCAAAGGAGGCAUAAAUCCAGAUAGAAAACUUUGAAGUGUGCUUUUUAGCGGAGAUUUAGGCUGACAGGGGGAUGGUGUAUAUUUUACCCGGGGUGUGUUUAAUAAAAAAACUAAAAGCGUUGCUCACACACAUAAAGAAAAUACAUAAGUGAAAUCAAAUGCAAUGUAUGAUUUCACUUUUAUUGGGAAACAAUCAGGCUAGAAAUGUGAGUAACCUAUGUUUAAACUGUGAAAACACUCUCCACAUACAUUAAAACUGUGCAACUCUGAGUGGGCAAUGUAAUGAAGCAACUGUUACAUAUCUGUAUUAAACUAGCCAACAUAGACUCACCACCACAUGAUGUUGCCCUGCAGCGGGGGCAGAAAAUCAUUUCCAAACCAGGGAUCUUAUGUUGAUUAUCAUAUUCUUACUUAUGUACACACACACACACAGAAGGGAAAAAAUUUCAAAACAAAACAAAAAACAACUUCGCUUAACCUGUCAAGCACAGGAGCAAAAUAAAAAUCUCUUUGGGCUCUGUUAAAAUUUCUUUAGUAAAAGUGUAAAAGGCCAAACCUAGGAGGUUGGGCAACCCGGAAAGUCCCUCCAGUAUCAGGAGUUAAUAGUCAGGAAACAUUCUUCACUUUAACGCGUUUUUAUGAAAACCACUGACUCAUAGAUGCAGAUAGACAUACAAGUGCACAUACAUCCAGAUGUGCAUUUAGACAUUAAAAGUGUAGAGACAUGUACACACAGAUUGGCAAACCGGUACAGAGUCUAGCUGAAGAGCUUAACAAAGCAGACGUGGCAGUAGGGUUUGUGAUUUUGCCUGAUAUGAUAUUGGGAAUCAACUUUGAAUAAUGACAGGAACCUGAGAUGAACACAGUAGGUUAGUAAGGUGUAGCAGAGAGAGGGUCAGAGCGAAGGUAGUGGACCUGGGAAUAGUGUAGUGACGUCUUUGGAAGACGUCAAAAGGGGAAUUGUAGAAUUAUAGGGACUAUUUUACAUAACCAUCAUCUUGUCAUUGCAUUAAUUAUCAUUUCAUCCAAGCAUUUAUUGAAGCUGCUGGCAUUAUGUUAUAAUUUAUAUUAUAGGGGUUAUCAUAAUCAAAUAUUAACAUGUUUAUUACAGGUGCAGUUAUAACUACUUUAAAAUGAUUGAGUUAAAUAUAUGUAUCAUAACUCAUAUGCUGAGUAUAUUGGUACAGUAAAAUAGUAGCUGAGCAAAGGCCUGAAUGUAUUCAGCUUCUUGUGGUAUUUGAGUUUGCCUAGUUACAGGUGACGGAAGGAUGUCCAGUCCAUGGUGACCUCAAAGGCCUUGGGUCAUCACUAUAUUCGGAAGAGUAUGCCACAAGGAGGAACCUCUAUGUUGCAGUUAAUUCUUAAAAUACAUGAAUGUUCUGUACAUGCAAAUUAUGUGCUUGUAAACGCAAGAAGGGGCGUUACAAUACCCUGAUGCUAUAAAAGCAAUCUAGAGUGUAUUUUGGGUAGAGAUGUACAACUGCUUUGCAGUUUGCACCUCUCCACGCUGCGUGCAUUCAUUAAAAUCAAUUGUUUGAACGGCC